GGCAAGCCACCGAGGCCAGGCAGUGAUGGUGAGCAUCAUGAGAUGAGCAUCCUUUCCCCGAAUAUCAGUGCGCACUAAUUUUGCUCAGCUGCAGAUCAAAUUGCCUCUCGAGACCUACCACCACCCAGCCGGCUGCGCCCAAAAGAGCUACAAAGGAUGUCUACUGGUAACAGCAGCAGGGGAACAGCGGAGAAGGAUGGUACAGUAGCUGGCGUGAACAAGACAGUGGCAUCCGAGCCGAGCUAAGCGUAUUUCGACUGCACAGUGUCUGAGCGCCGGGAAAUUACACCCCCUAAUUUGUCUUUUCGACUGGAACAACGACGUUCACUUCUAACGCUAUUUGGAUACAUUUUUGCACCCUUCAUCCUUGGAUAGUGAACUACAGAACACAUCCUUGGCCAGCUCACGGCCACCAUUCACGCCCAAACCACAGAAUGACAGUGUUCACUCCUCCCAACCGAGCCAAAUAAAGACUUCCCAUCCUACUAAAGCCCCAUCUCAUCUCUCCAGUACUGUACCCCUGACCACAUCCACACAGACAGAGCAAACGUUGCCCAGGGACACAGUGGAACUGGUAGCCCCCGUCGGCCCAGAGCCCCAAACUGUGGCGAGAAGGAACCAGACCCCCAAAGCCGUCACCCUCCCAGUAACCCAGGUCGUGUCACUUUCAACCAUCAUCAACGGCAGCCGUAUGUAUGAAAUAGUUGGCUUUGGAUGGUGACUAACCUUACCAUAAUGUUACUAUUUACUUUUAGAGAAGGCCUACUAAAGAUAAAUAUAUAUCAGAUAAAUGAUCAGUCACAGCUCUGAUGUACCAUAAAACAGACUGAUAUGAAUACAAAUACUACACACUGUGUGUGGUUAAUGUAAAAGUGUAUUUUCAAACUAAUAGAUGCUGCAAACCUAAACUUAAAAGCAAAUGUUGUUAGUGCUUGUGUGUGUAUGGUGAUUGGCUACGUGGCUGGGUGCAAAUGCAUAUGAGUAAAUAUUAAUGACUCUAGACUUCUUCUGGCUGGGAGGGAUAUUGAAGAAGCGUUUGGAUUUGGAGUUCUCCUCGUUCCAUCUGACUGGCUGCUCUCUUCUGUACUUUGUCGAUAGACACCUUAUCUGACGUACUUGCAGAGCCCCCUUCCUUCUGGCUGGCUGUUGACUUCAGUCUGCUGCUUCCGAGGGCGGGUUUCACCUCGCCGCAGCUUGAGGAUCACUUUAGGCCUCUGCAGUUUGCUCCAUUUCUUUUCCAGGUCCUUUCUUUUUAUUUAUCCAUUUUUUUUCUUCCAAUCUUUUCAUUUCUUUCUUUGUUAUGUUGUUCAGCUGCUUCUCUGUCAGUGGGAAGGAAAUGUGGCCAGGCACCUGACAGGCACUGCCUUCCACAUGCUGCACAGCACUCUGGGACAGGACUGGACACUGUGAGGCCCGCUGGGAUAGCUUAGGACAUGACACAGCCAUCUGAGAUGAGCCUAGACAACCAACCUUCCUCAGGAUCAUCCUGAUUUCAUUGGGGUUGAUGGGGUCAACAAGCAGGAUGGACUAAUAUAGGACUUUAGCCUUUUGGGGCUUUGACGGGUGGUGCAGGUCACCAGUAGCACUGUGAGCGGCUUUGCCCUUUGAGCCAAGAGAGGGAGCUGUGACCAGGCUUUUCCCCUUGGAGACCAGAUUUGACAUGUAGGCCACUGUCACGUUGGACCCAGUGAUUCUCCUCUGACUUAAAUAUAUGAAAUGUGGGGAAAAUGCUUAUUUCAGUUUACAAGCUGAAUUUAAACUAUUUCUUAUAGCUACAAUACAUACUGUUUGCUUGACAUAGAAAGACUGUGAGGACUUAUGGGUUAUACCUAAUGAACAUUAGAACAUGUUUUAACAGAAUUGCUUUCAGGCCAAGCCAGCCUACUUUAACAUAAUCUUUGGGCAGUACUUUAAAAUAAACUAUGUCAAAAACUGAAAAAAAUAGAUGCUAGAACAAAACUUCCCAAUGAAAGAGGGCAACAGAGAAGCGGCCAUUUCCAUCGUGGUGUGUAUAUUCUACUUCUAAACGCCUUAUAAAUGAACAAUUACUGUAUUAUUGAAAACAAAAUGAGCUAUCUGUUUCAGAUAUCAUGUAAUUGAAUAGUUUGCAAAUAAUACUAUAUAGCUGGGGUGGCAGGUAGCCUAGUGGUUAAGAGCGUUGGGCCAGUAACCGAGUCCCAGAGCCGACUAGGUGAAAAAUCUGUCGAUGUGCCCUUGAGCAAGGCACUUAACCCUAGUUGUUCCUGUAUUUCGCUCUGGAUAAGAGUGUCUCCUAAAUUACUAAAAUGUAAAUGUAAGACAAUAUUCAUUCAAUCGAGAAAUGGUUUUUGCAUCAGUGUGUUCUUUCUUUUCCAAGUUUGUAACAACCUCAAUAAAUAAUUUGUUUUUAGCUGACAGUCCCCCAAAAAUGAGAAAUGGAAAGGAGAAAUGUUCCUCUGUGGAUGUUGAGAUGCUGCUGGACAUGGUGUUGAUGAAUCAGUAGAGGGCAGUCUUCCUCUUGUCACCAGUAGUAGUAUCAGACAGAUGAAUAAACAUUACAGAUCAAGGAGUUUAGUCUAAUAUCAAAUACUGGACUAAGAGCAAUUAGGGCAUGCACACUCAAAUAGCAACUCACUGCCUUCCUGAAGACAAACAAUGUAUACGAAAUGCUUCAGUCUGGUUUUAGACCCCAUCAUAGCACUGAGACGGCACUUGUGAAGGUGGUAAAUGACAUUUUAAUGGCAUCGGACCGAGGCUCUGCAUCUGUCCUCGUGCUCCUAGACCUUAGUGCCGCUUUUGAUACCA
This is a long non-coding RNA of Oncorhynchus tshawytscha (Chinook salmon), 2784 nucleotides long. The record is from Ensembl. Lineage: Eukaryota; Metazoa; Chordata; Actinopteri; Salmoniformes; Salmonidae.